GAAAGUCUGACGCAGCAACGCCGCGUGAGGGAUGACGGCCUUCGGGUUGUAAACCUCUUUAAACAGGGACGAAGCGAGAGUGACGGUACCUGCAGAAGAAGGACCGGCCAACUACGUGCCAGCAGCCGCGGUAAUACGUAGGGUCCGAGCGUUGUCCGGAAUUAUUGGGCGUAAAGGGCUCGUAGGCGGUUCGUCGCGUCGGGAGUGAAAACUCGGAGCUCAACUCCGAGCCUGCUUCCGAUACGGGCAGACUAGAGGUAGGCAGGGGAGAGCGGAACUCCUGGUGUAGCGGUGGAAUGCGCAGAUAUCAGGAAGAACACCGGUGGCGAAGGCGGCUCUCUGGGCCUUACCUGACGCUGAGGAGCGAAAGCGUGGGUAGCGAACAGGAUUAGAUACCCUGGUAGUCCACGCCGUAAACGUUGGGCGCUAGGUGUGGGGGACAUUCCACGUCCUCCGUGCCGCAGCUAACGCAUUAAGCGCCCCGCCUGGGGAGUACGGCCGCAAGGCUAAAACUCAAAGGAAUUGACGG
Molecule: ribosomal RNA, 529 nt
Filed under: Kribbella catacumbae
Lineage: Bacteria; Bacillati; Actinomycetota; Actinomycetes; Propionibacteriales; Kribbellaceae
Description: bacterial SSU rRNA
Rfam family: Bacterial small subunit ribosomal RNA
Source: RNAcentral